AGUGAGACCUUUGGGUGGUGAUGAUGUUGUGAGGGCAAAGCACUCAUGAAUGAGAUUAGUGACCUCAUAAAAGCAGCCCCAGAGAGCUGCCUUGCCUUUCCUGCCAGGUGAGUACACAGUGAGAAGAUGGCCAACUAUAAGCCAGGAAACAGGCCUCCAUCAACAAGGAAUCUGCCGGCAACUUGAUCUUGGACUUCCCAGCCUCCAGGAUUCUUUCACUGAACACAGUUGAGAAUUCAGAAUUUUUCAUUUUCUGCCCACAAUGGCAAAGAGAAGUGACAAAUGGAGACACAGCACAGUUACGUCAGAAGAUGAAUGCAAAGAGACAGAUGACAGCACUCUAGCAUCAGAUUCUGAUGAAAGGAGAAGAAGACAGAAGAAAGAAGAAGAAGAAACUGAUCAUACAGGCUGAAUGUCCCUAAUACAGAAAUCUGAAGUGCUCCCAAAUCUGAAACUUUUUGAGUGCCAAUAAGAUGCCAGAAGCAGGCAAUGGACAUUGUUAACACUGCAGAAGAAGUGCUUAUUGAUGACUGGUGAAAAUGGCUGAUGGGCUUACUGAAGGCCUAGAGUAGUGUGCAUUCUUAACAGAAGAAGGUAUCAAUCAUAUCAAUUUUUAAAAUCAAAGAGAGAUGUCUAAGAUCAAAACCAGUGUUAACGACGCAGAUGACUCUAGAGGAAACAUUUUUAGAAGCCAACCAGCAGAAAGCCUCCUCAUAACUAGAGGACCCACUUCCUGGUCCCUCAACUGCUUCUGAUGUUUCUUCUCUCCUAAAAAAGCUCAGUGUGCACUAACCUUUUAAUCAAAACACAACAUCAUCAGUGUACGGAUGGGUGAAUUUUUAAACAAAAACACAGCAUUAUAGGUGGAGACUAAAAACCUGCCAUUGUUCAUUGGGGCUGUUGUUUAACAGAUGGUACAGGAAGAAAAAUAUGUUGCAAACAUGGAGGAAAGAUGAUGGCCUCCUUCAACAGAACUAUGAGUUGUCCAAGAUUUCACAAAGUUCUUCAAGCAUGGCAUUUGAUGAUGAGCCCUAAGAUGACUUGAGCCUCACGUCAACUCUCUUUGCUACACGCCCCUCUUUGGAGACCACCACUUCAUGCAAUGGGGAGUGACAUUAGGGCUGAACUUUAAGAAAGAGAACUCUGACAGUAAUGAGAAGACAGAAAAAGAGAAUGACCAGAUAUCCAAAAUGGGAUCGUAGCAUCGAACAUGAGAAGGCCAUGCAUAAGAUGGGGUAGGUCCAAUCAACAAAAUUUGAAAAAAGGUCAGCUUUGGAGUGGUCUGAAAAGGGAGACAAAGGAGGAGACAGAAUUCUGGAUGAUUUCACGGUAACAAUCCUGAGUGACUUGGAGGAUAUAAUAGUAUUAACUAAAAAGGAAAAUGCACAAGACAGCAAUUUGAGGGAAGGACAUUUAGAUGAAGAGAUCCUUGAGAAAUACAUGCAUUUAAAAGACAAGUGGGAGAGAAACUAAUGAAGGAGCUGAAAAUGGCCAAUGACACUGGAAAAGAACGACGACAGUAAAGUGUCCUAGUAGCCAAGGGAAGAGAGAAAGCACUUUUUAAAGGAUGAGAUGAUCACUUGUGUCAACUUCUGUCAAUAAUUAAAGGAGACAAGGGACAAGAUGACAUCCGUGGAUAUGGCAAAUAGCCAAUAAUAAUGAAAGCUAGCAUCACAUCUGCUGCAUGCUUGUCACAUGCCAGGCACACCACUUCAAGAGUUGUACAAUUUACAAUGUGGACGUGGAGGAAGAAAACUAAAGAAGGGCAACAGAGAGAGCCUUGCACCAAGACCACAACCACUCCAGGGGGUGGGAUUAUAUCCAUUCCACACAGGAGGAAUCGGAAGCUUUGAGAGCUGACGUAAAACUGGUAAACGGUGAAACCAGGAUUCAAACCCAAUUCUACCUGGCUGCCAAAACCACACAUUGCUUUCCCCAGUUCACAGGCUAUCACAGCAUCAGCAGCAAUCAAGGUAGAAAACCUAAUCGAAUAUCACAAAAAUAGGAACCCAUCUGUGAUGAGAAAACUUACAGAUCUCGGACUGCAAACUGAAAAUGCCUACAGGGCCAAGGCAAGUAAUAUAAAAUGAAGGGAAUUCAACGGGACUGGGAACAGGAGACCAUGUGUAUGUAUCAUCUACGGAGGCAGCUGCUGCUUCACUUCAUGCAGGAAUGUGGGCCUGGUGUUGCCAGAUUUUGUGCUUCUUUUCAAGAGACACUGGAAAUAAUCUUAUUAUUUCAUACUGACAAUUAAUUUUUAAAAAUUAAACACACCACUGAUCAAACAAUAUAAAUCUGUAGACCACUAGUAUCCAUCCCUUAGAACUGCCAGUUUUCAACCUCCAGUAUUCUGGGGGCACUACUAUCAUUUCUAAUAGAAACAGAAAUACAAAGACAAGUAUGGAACCCAAGGGGCAAAGAGACACAGGUCUGAGAACAGCCGGAAGAUUAUAAAAACUAGAUGAAUCAUAUCCAUUUAAGCCAAGAUGAAAUUAGUCACUAACUAUAUAUUUCAUUCCCAGGGUUUUAGUUUUCUAUUUCCCAAAGAAAGAGCAAGGCUGCAAAAGAGAAGAUUGGGUUGGGGGAGGGGAGGAACAAUAUAGCUAAUGAUGAAAUGAUACAUAAAUGGUAAGAUGAUUUUAAUGCUCAGGCAAAACCCGCUCUUAACUGAGUCAGUCAACCACCAGUUACAGAAACUUGAAGAUAUCACUAAUUCUGAACAAGAUUAAUUUGGGUGGGUAGAAUUAGUCAUUUCGUUAUUAGUCCUUAAUUUUAGCCAUCAAAGCAUAGCCAAGGGAAAGUAAGCAUAUCAGUGUGGUUACAUUUCAAGCAAGAUCUUGAAAUUAAGACAAAUAUUUAGUAUGUUCAAGAGAUUUUGACAAAUAUUACUUAAGCCAAAGACACAAAUGAGAACAUACUCAAUAUAGCUAACUCUUCCCAUCUCUCUAUGCAUCCUCUGUCUGUUGCAUUUCCAAAGAAAUAUCUUUGUGAAUAAAUUCAGAAACAUUUUAGCUGCAAACACAACAGAAUCUCCAAAAGUACACACUGACCUAAGGCUGAAAAGAGUUUUCAUUUAA
Molecule: long non-coding RNA, 3077 nt
Filed under: Homo sapiens (human)
Lineage: Eukaryota; Metazoa; Chordata; Mammalia; Primates; Hominidae
Description: HSALNT0394816
Source: RNAcentral